GUGGGGAAUAUUGGACAAUGGGCGAAAGCCUGAUCCAGCCAUGCCGCGUGUGUGAAGAAGGUCUUCGGAUUGUAAAGCACUUUAAGUUGGGAGGAAGGGCAGUAAGUUAAUACCUUGCUGUUUUGACGUUACCGACAGAAUAAGCACCGGCUAACUUCGUGCCAGCAGCCGCGGUAAUACGAAGGGUGCAAGCGUUAAUCGGAAUUACUGGGCGUAAAGCGCGCGUAGGUGGUUUUGUAAGUUGGAGUUGAAAUCCCCGGGCUCAACCUGGGAACUGCCUCCAAAACUGCAUGACUAGAGUACGGUAGAGGGUAGUGGAAUUUCCUGUGUAGCGGUGAAAUGCGUAGAUAUAGGAAGGAACACCAGUGGCGAAGGCGACUACCUGGACUGAUACUGACACUGAGGUGCGAAAGCGUGGGGAGCAAACAGGAUUAGAAACCCCUGUAGUCC
RNAcentral lists this ribosomal RNA (450 nucleotides) under uncultured bacterium. Its description in RNAcentral is "partial 16S ribosomal RNA". It matches the Rfam family "Bacterial small subunit ribosomal RNA", at positions 354 to 796 of the family's 1533-position model. The record is from RNAcentral.